CCCUUAGAUGUUCGGGGCCGCACGCGCGCUACACUGAAGGAAUCAGCACGUCUUUCUCCUUGUCCGAAAGGACUGGGUAACCCGCUGAACCUCCUUCGUGCUAGGGAUUGGGGCUUGUAAUUCUUCCCCAUGAACGAGGAAUUCCCAGUAAGCGCGAGUCAUAAGCUCGCGUUGAUUACGUCCCUGCCCUUUGUACACACCGCCCGUCGCUACUACCGAUUGGAUGGUUAGUGAGAUCCUCGGAUUGGUCCCGGCGCGGCCUCUGGUCGUGCCGGAGUGCCGAAAAGAAUGUCGAACUUGAUCAUCUAGAGGAAGUAAAAGUCGUAACA
Molecule: ribosomal RNA, 329 nt
Filed under: uncultured eukaryote
Lineage: Eukaryota
Description: partial 18S ribosomal RNA
Rfam family: Eukaryotic small subunit ribosomal RNA
Source: RNAcentral